AUCAGUUGGAUUAUUUGCAUACAUUUACCAAAUGUGAUAUAUAUCACUAGUCGAAAAUAUCUGUACUAUUAUCUUGAUAAUGAUUUCGACCCUAUCGCUAAGUGUUAGCAACGCAGGUUUCAGUUUGGUAUAUAUCAGGCUUAUAGACUUCACCUCACCUUGAUCUUGUAAUCUGUCAUUAUGAUGGAGAUAAAAUAAAUUUAACAAACAGCCUAGGAAGGUAUUGGAUUGCAUUAGAUUGGACAGAUGUACCUAAUAUAGUGGCCACUGAGUGUACAUAACUAAACAAUCAUACAUUGCCAGUGUCUACAUCUAAUUUAUCCCACUGGCCAAAUAUCAUCUUGUCAGUAAUCAGCCUUCACUCCAUUUUAACACUGUAUGAAUCUGUCCAGAUGUGCAUGCAAAUUUACCAUAGCUGGCAGUUGAGUGAACUGAUCAGGAGAUGUUAACCUGGCAUUGGGGGAGGACCGUUUGUAACACAAACUAUGUGUAAAUGAGUCUAAUAACGGUUAUCAACGACCAUAUGACAAACGACAGGGCAAAAUAACGGUGACCACCGUACAGCAGAGUGAACUAGCUGAUCGAAGAUAUUGAAAAUGUGUUCAAAUAAAUGCUUCUUGAUGAGUCAAAUUCAAGCCGAAAUUAGCAGCAGACUAAUUUUUUUGUAGUGGGCUGAAGACUUAAUCAUCGAGGUGUGUAUGUUUCCCGAGAAGCGAUUCACCACAGCACAGUCUCUCAACGCAAGUAAGGACGUCGCGUCAAGAGCCCGGUUGUGUCUCCGCCAAAAACCCACCCGCCUCCAAGCGCUAUCAGAGACGGUUCACAAGGUAUCGUUGGUGCUAUGUCCUACUGCCUGAUUUUCCCUUCAAACUACAGAGACACCAGGUGGAGGCAACAAGAACUGCGAUUGGCUGCUUGGACUGCUGGUGUUUGAUGACAGUGAGGAUUAUAGAGAGUGAGAACAACAUGAAGAAAGUUGAAGAAAGUCUUCUCCUUUGCAGUAACACACAUCUAGCAAAGCCAUUCCACUGCCGACCUUCUGCUCGCCUCACUCACAGCUCUUUAUGGAUCAGUGCAGGUACCCACAGCUGGACGUCUGGAUGUCCGUUAACCUCUUGCGUCGAGACGUUUACACCCCUCCCAUGAGGAAGGAGGAAAGCUGCAAAUGCAACACAGAGCUGAGACACACAGGGGAGAAAGAGAUGGAUGAGGGAACGGGGAUUGGAGAGCUCUGCAUUUCCAUAUUAAGGAGAUGAAAGAAAGAGAAGUUAAUUUACAAGUCACAAAGAAGGAGGAGAUGAAUGACUGAAGAACUUAUACAAUAACCAGCCCUGAUCUGGCCUCCUCCUCCUGUCACACUGAGGAUGAAACUGCUCAGUGAGAGAUUCUCGUCAUCCAACAGAAAUAGAAUUUUAAUCCGAAAUGUCUGCUGUUUCUCCUGUUUCUACUUUUGUAUGUGACUGUGAGAGUCGUCAGACCUCUGAUGGACUUCAAGUGCGCAUGUGUUGCUGUGGAUCCCAGGAUGAUCCCAGCCUCUCUAAAUGCUAAUGGUGUGUGUAGGUGAGUGAUAGAUUUUCCAGAGAGCCCUGCUUUAGACCAGCAGGGAAGCACAAGGAAUAUAAUCCACCUACAGCUACUGAGGCUUCCUCAUUUCACAGCAAAAUAAUCGCAAUGACCCAGCAAUACUUAGCUUCAGAUUUAGGAGCUGUAUUAUCAGGGGAGACCUGCGUGCCUUAUGUGUCAUAUUUUUGACUCAAGAUACAUUUUAUGGACACCAUCAGCUUGAUUUGAAGAUAGGAAAAGAUCAUUUUGGUUUGAUACACCUUUUGUAGUUUUCCACCAUUCCUAUCAAUAAUUAUUAUCAUCGAGUUAAUAUCUGAGAUCUAAGAAAACGGUGACAUCACUAAAAAUAAGCCGCACACAAGCAGUCAGACAAUCAGACAGGUUGGAAACAAACCUACAUGUUAGACAAACUUAUUUGAAGAGAACUACUGUAAACGCCCAUCAGUUUACAGACCUACUUCGUGCUUCAACUUUGACCUGCUGUACUUAAAGUAGUCCUGAACACAGUUUUCCUGUGCAAUGAGGGAUUAUUAGCGACAUUUAAAGUGUGCUCACUUUCAGUUUGUUCAAAUAAAAUUGGUUUGGAUAUAAACUGUUGGUUUGUUUACAACCUGUCUGAUCGUCUGACUGCUCGUGUUUGUUGACCCAUUGGACUUCAUUGUAGAGAUGUUACUGUGUUCCCAGCAAUUAACUUGGUACGUACAAUAUUACGGUAUCAUGGGGGGCACAUCUAGCAGGCAGCACUGGUGCCCCCAGGUAUGCGUGUUCUCCCCACUGCUCUUCUCUCUCUACACCAAUGACUGGACCUCAGGGGACCCGUCUGUUAAACUCCUGACACUGAGAUGAAUGAAUGCUUAUAGUUUCAGAGGUGAUUUAAUUGGUCGGUAGAACAGCUGGCCCCAGUCUGGACCAUGUGGUUUAGAUGGGCUUGAACCACCACUGGUAAUCAGCCUCAUCUGAGAUGCUGAUGAGUCUGCAACCAGGCGGGAGGUUGAACAGCUGGCUCUCUGGUGCAGUCACUACAAUCUGGGGUUGAACACACUCAAAACUGUAGAGAUACUCAACAGCACUGUGUUGGCCGAGGAAAUCUUCACAUUACACUUAAAAUUACAAAUUUCAGCCUCAUGGUGGCGCUAGAGAAAAAGUCAGGGAAUCACCAAAGUCUGCAGGAUUCAUCCUCUGGGGAUCAUGAAUGUUUGUACAAAAUUUCAUGACAAUGAAUUCAAUAGUUGAUGAGAUAUUUCAGUCUGGACCAAAGUGGUGGACCAACCAAUCGAAAGGCUGGUAUUGCCAUCCAUAGAGCCAGCAGUUAGUGAGUCUGCUCUCUGCACAUCUAUGAUGGUCUGGUUUGGAUCGGCCACCAAACAGGACAGAAACAGACUGCAAUGAACAGUUAAGUCUCCAGAAAAGAUGACUGGUGCCAACCUGCCCACUCUCCAGGAAUUGUACACCUCCCAAGUCAGGAAAUGGGCAGGGAUAAUCAUUGCAGACCCAUCACACCCUGGACAUAAACUGUUCCAACCUCUCCCCUCAUGUAGACUCAGAACACUGUAUGCCAAAACAAUCAGAGACAAGCAGUUUCUUUUCUCAGGCAUCACACUCACAAACAGUAGAGGUCUAAAACCAGUAACCCUGCAAUACUAAAUCAUAUUAUACAGAUAUUAUAGUUGUGGUAGAAAAUGACUGAAAUGUCUAUGUGAAAUUGCUGAAUCACUGUUAAAUCAUCUGUUGAAUAACUCAAAAGGGGUACAGGAGAAGGUACAGACUGUCCAGUCAUAAAGAUUAGAAGACCUUGGGGUGUCUCAAUUUCUUGAGAUAUGCUUGGAAACUGGUUAGGGGUUCAAGCCCCAAAGUGGACCAUCAUUGGAUGACGCUUAAUAAAAGUUGUAUAAAGCUUGUUGAUAUCUUAUUUGGUUUUCAAGAUAUUGACCAAUGAACUUCCAAAGGGGCGUGGCUCACCACAUAAAUAGACCAAAGUCAAUAAAGUUUGGGACAGUCAUCACAAAACUUCCAGGAUAUGUCCAUAGAAGUACCUGAAACAUACCCUGAAAGUUUCUUUCAAAUCAACCACUGGGGGGCGCUACAAAUGCAAAAAAAUGGGCGUGGCAUAACACAAAUCAGAAUACGAAUCAGACAUUGUUUGUUUUCUUCAUUCUAUUUGUGAAAAUGCAAAAAAGAGAGGAGAUUUCACUGCUUUUGUCACCUCUAGGCCACAUCUGACCAAGUCCAGAUCAAAAGCUUUAAACUUCUAACGGUCUGUGUUGGCCUGAACCCCGGAAUUGCCGCUUGCGGCUGUAUUUCUGACUGGAUUUUGGUGUUUAGAGAAGAAGUCAAGUCAAUUUUAUUUAUAUAGCCCAAUAUCACAAAUCACAAAUUUGCCUCAAGUGGCUUCACAA
Molecule: long non-coding RNA, 3959 nt
Organism: Siniperca chuatsi (mandarin fish)
Lineage: Eukaryota; Metazoa; Chordata; Actinopteri; Centrarchiformes; Sinipercidae
Exons: 5
Source: RefSeq, a predicted model, not a curated record